UUGAUGUAUUCUCUUUAUUUUGUUAAUAGAUUGAAUUAAACAACCCAAAAUUGAGAACACGUGUUUUCAACAUGCUAUUAACAAGCUAUCUUUAGAAAUUUGCUCAUUAUAACAAAUAGCUAAUCAACAAAAUAGAUAUUUUUAUGCUUAUACCCUUUAAGAGAUAGGGAAUGACAAGAAAGUGAUGGAAAUUCGGUAUCAGCAUGCUGCCAAAUACUUGGCAAUUGCGAGCAAGAGAACUAGCUGGUAAAAUUUCCAAACGUUUUGCACUGAUUUUCAUUUGGUUACUUCUGUGCAAGCAAUAGGAAUGAAGCAGCCAGCACCCAGCACUCGGAUCUAUAGGAACGUUACUAUGUGCAUGUGUAUCUGUGGGCUUUCUGCAGCUAGCUGGGUUGUUGGUAUCGCUUUGCAUUUGGCAAAUUCUUAGAUGUCUCAAUGUUUUGCAGUUUGAGUUUUCGGCUUUGGGCUUGCAUUCUGAGUUUCAAUUGCAUUGUUCUCGACGCCUUUCUAUGUGUGAGUGUGGUUGUGGCUGUUGUGUGGCCCUAACAACUGGAGUGUUAGGCAGCCUGUGGCUUGAAAUCGCCUAAUGGAUGUCAACGUUUGAAUGCAAUUUAAAACAUAUUUUUUGGUCGACAAUUUUUUUGUGGUUUUGUUGUUGGUUGGCCAUGGAAAGGAUAAAUAUGACCUCGAAAAUGUGACACAAUUCGCUAGAGAUAAAGAGACAAUUGCAACAGCAUCUGGUUAUCAUAUGUCACUCAAAACGCUCGUGACUAAUGGGCCCCAUAACUGGCACAGCCAAAAUCAAUGUCGGCCGACAUUUUCCGACAAUUUCAUAGCAAAAUGGACGUCAAGACAGAAGCAGCAGUAGCAAUAGCAGCAGCGACGGCGGCGGCAGCAUCUGCCAAAUAAAUGGCACUCAAUCAAGUCAUGUCUCAGCAAUUUCACGGGCUCAGGAUUUCGGCAGCAUCUUGACAAAUGGUCACACGAAAAUAAUAAUAAAUAUUAAAGGCUGGUCACAUUGAUUGGCAACAACUUGACAAGAAUAUUUCAUACAUAAGUUGACAACAAGAAUACAAAUUCAAGACGCGCAAUUAAAAGUUUCAGUUCUAUCAAAUUCAUCUACUGCUCCCUCCAGGUGUUUUGUCAAUGUGAACCAGCCUUAUGAUAACGAAGCGCAAAUAUUUCCAGAGCAAACGACAAAAGGCAUACAAAAUUAAAAAGAAAAUAAGUAAAAAAUUAAUGAAAAAUAAUACAAUUUGCACGGCUAGAAAGCGCUCUGGAUUUGUACUUUAAUUAAGUAAAAUAAAAGCUGUUCACUUGGACAUUGAUUCUCACAUAAA
Long non-coding RNA from Drosophila montana, 1340 nucleotides. RefSeq lists it as uncharacterized. The transcript has 2 exons. The record is from RefSeq and is a predicted model, not a curated record. Lineage: Eukaryota; Metazoa; Arthropoda; Insecta; Diptera; Drosophilidae.